Molecule: unclassified non-coding RNA, 3883 nt
Filed under: Hevea brasiliensis (rubber tree)
Lineage: Eukaryota; Viridiplantae; Streptophyta; Magnoliopsida; Malpighiales; Euphorbiaceae
Source: RNAcentral
GGACUCUCGAGCCUCGCAGAUAGAAAAGGACAUUUUCGGGGAAAAUAUGAAUCACAAGCUCGUAAAAAUUUCAGUGAUCAGAACGGAAAAAAACUGCCCAUCUUUUCCUCACUGACCGCCACGUUUCAACAUUUCCCUUGCCCUCUCCUUUUCCUAAGAAAAAACUGGGCCCUGCAUUUAACAGAAGUUUUCGUCUCUGUUUCUGUCUGUACUUUUCCUCUAUCACCACUGCCAGCUUCACCUUCUCCAUUUCAGUCUUUCUCCCUGGAAGAAAGAACUGCACUUUCUCCUCUUAGAUUGCUGCAGUGGGUUUUUGUUUUUGUGUGCCUAGGUGCUCUAUAUUAGUGCUUUGAGUGUUUUAUUUUUGUUUUUAUUUUUUCGGGUAUAAUGACGGAUACAACAGAUGAUAUAGCUGAGGAAAUCUCAUUUCAAAGCUUUGACGAUGACUGUAAGCUGCUUGGGAAUCUGCUAAACGAUGUGUUGCAGAGAGAAGUUGGAGGCAGAUUUAUGGAGAAACUUGAAAGGAACCGGAUCCUCGCUCAGAGUGCCUGCAAUAUGAGAUUGGCGGGGAUAGAGGAUACAGCUGAGCUGCUAGAGAAGCAGCUGGCACUGGAGAUGUCAAAGAUGACAUUAGAGGAAGCCUUGACUCUUGCUCGUGCAUUUAGUCAUUACCUUAAUUUGAUGGGGAUUGCUGAGACCCAUCACAGGUCAUUUCUGUUUGCUAUUGUUAUUUUUCUCUGAGCAUGCCUAUUUAAUCAGCUCAUUUAUUUUACAUUUCAAUGUAUGUUGAUAAUUUUCAGUCCUCAAAUUAUCAAAAGAUUGUUCAAUUUAGGCUUUUGCUUAAUUUGGAAUCAGUAAAUUACAUCACAGGCAAUGCAUUGUCCUUUUACGGUUUUCAGACUGAUGAAGGUAGCGUUGUUUUUAAGGCCUUUUAUUUCUUUUCUUCUGAUAUUAAGACAUGAUGAACUAACGCUCUAUGGGUUCUUAGAUGGUAGGAGGGAAAGAAAAGAAAAUUCCCAUGUAGAAUUUGCAUUUGACCAUUCUUCUCUGAUCCUUUCUAUUAUGUCUUCUAUAAACUACUGCAGAGUUGGUCAUACUGAAUAGCCUUUUAAUUUACAUUCCUUUCCUCUUUUUAGCGUUCUCCUAUUGAAUGCUUCUCUGUUCUAGUUCAGUUUUAAAUAUGGGAAGGAAACCUUUCUAGAUAAAUUGUGGAAAACUGUUGCAUCCUGCAGGGUUCGUAGGGCUCGAAGUAUGACACAUCUAUCAAAAUCUUGUGAUGACAUUUUUAAUCAGCUGUUGCAGGGUGAAGUUUCUCCAGAGGAGCUUUAUAACACAGUUUGCAAGCAGGAGGUUGAAAUUGUUCUUACUGCGCAUCCUACUCAAAUUAAUCGUCGUACCUUGCAAUAUAAGCACAUUAGAAUAGCUCAUCUUUUAGAUUAUAAUGAUCGACCUGAUCUUACUCAUGAAGAUAGAGAAAUGCUGAUUGAAGAUCUGGUGAGAGAGAUUACUUCAAUAUGGCAGACAGAUGAGCUUAGACGUCAUAAACCUACACCAGUGGAUGAAGCUAGGGCUGGCUUGAACAUUGUUGAGCAGUCCCUGUGGAAAGCUGUGCCUCAUUACUUACGUCGUGUUAGCAAUGCCCUGAAGAAGCAUACAGGAAAGCCACUUCCAUUAACUUGCACACCUAUAAAGUUUGGGUCUUGGAUGGGGGGUGAUAGAGAUGGAAAUCCCAAUGUAACAGCAAAGGUCACAAGAGAUGUUUCUCUUUUGUCUAGGUGGAUGGCUAUUGACUUGUACAUUCGAGAAGUUGAUAGCCUCAGAUUUGAACUAUCCAUGAAUCAGUGCAGUGAUAGGAUGUUAAAAGUGGCAAAUGACAUUCUAGUAGAAGAAACUAAAUCAGAGGAUCGAUAUGAGAGUUGGAAUCAACCCAUGAUCAGAAGUCAAACAAAGCUUCAUGGCCAACAAACUCCAUCUCUUCCGACACAACUUCCAGCGAGAGCUGAUCUUCCUGCCUGUACUGAACACAAUGAUGGUGCUGAGUAUCCCAAACUGGAACUUCCAGGGACUAAUUACAUGCCUUCGAGUCGUCAGGAUGCCCUCGGUUCUUCAAAUUCACAGUCUUCAUUCCAGGAUUCGAGUCAUGGUUCAGGCAAUUCUUUCCCAAAUGGAAAUAUUGCCAACUCUAGUAGUUCUCCCUCUUCUGGGACUCUGCGGGGAUCUUUCACUUCUAGUCAACUACUUGCACAGAGGAAAAUAUUCGCAGAAUCUAAGAUAGGAAGAUCCAGCUUCCAGAAACUUCUGGAGCCAAGUCUGCCUCAACUUCCUGGAAUUGCUCCUUACAGAAUUGUUCUUGGCAACGUAAAAGAUAAACUUACGAGGGCUAGAAGACGGUUGGAACUUCUUCUAGAGGAUCUUCCCUGUGAAUAUGAUCCUUGGGAUUACUAUGAGACAACAGAGCAAUUACUAGAACCACUGCUUCUGUGCUAUGAGUCUUUGCAAUCAUGUGGAGGUGGGGUUCUAGCUGAUGGUCGGUUGGCUGACCUGAUUAGAAGAGUUGCUACCUUUGGGAUGGUAUUAAUGAAGCUAGACUUGCGCCAGGAAUCUGGUAGACAUGCUGAAACACUAGAUGCAGUCACGAAAUAUUUGGAUAUGGGAACAUAUAGCGGAUGGGAUGAAGAAAAGAAACUGGAAUUUCUAACAAGAGAACUGAAAGGGAAGCGACCACUAGUUCCUCCUACUAUUGAGGUUGCUCCUGAUGUCAAGGAAGUCCUGGAUACUUUUCGAGUUGCUGCUGAGCUGGGAAGUGAUUCACUUGGAGCUUAUGUGAUUUCUAUGGCAUCCAAUGCAAGUGAUGUCCUUGCUGUGGAGCUUCUGCAGAAGGAUGCCCGGCUUGCUGUUAGUGGGGAGUUGGGGAGACCAUGUCCUGGUGGAACACUGCGAGUAGUUCCAUUGUUUGAAACUGUGAAAGACCUGAGAGGGGCUGGUUCAGUGAUCAGAAAAUUGUUAUCAAUUGAUUGGUACCGUGAACACAUUAUUAAGAACCAUAGUGGGCAUCAGGAGGUGAUGGUAGGAUAUUCUGAUUCCGGUAAAGAUGCUGGGCGCUUCACUGCUGCAUGGGAACUUUACAAAGCACAAGAGGAUGUUGUGGCAGCUUGCAAUGAGUAUGGUAUCAAAGUAACACUAUUCCAUGGACGUGGAGGGAGUAUUGGUCGUGGUGGUGGCCCCACAUAUCUUGCCAUACAAUCCCAACCACCUGGUUCAGUAAUGGGGACUCUUAGGUCAACUGAGCAAGGAGAAAUGGUGCAGGCCAAGUUUGGGCUUCCACAUACUGCUGUCAGACAGCUAGAAAUAUACACAACUGCAGUCCUGCUAGCAACCCUUUGUCCCCCGCUUCCACCUCGAGAACAAAAAUGGCGCAAUGUCAUGGAGGAGAUAUCAAAAAUCAGUUGCCAAAAUUACAGGAGUACAGUCUAUGAAAAUCCAGAAUUCCUUGCUUACUUCCACGAGGCUACUCCCCAGGCUGAGCUUGGCUUUCUUAACAUAGGAAGCCGGCCCACAAGAAGAAAGAGCACAACUGGUAUUGGACAUCUUCGUGCCAUUCCAUGGGUAUUUGCUUGGACUCAAACCAGAUUUGUGCUUCCUGCUUGGCUUGGAGUUGGAGCAGGUCUAAAGGGUGCUUGUGAGAAGGGAUUUACUGAAGACUUGAAAGCAAUGUACAAAGAAUGGCCUUUUUUCCAAUCAACUGUAGACCUUAUAGAGAUGGUUUUAGGAAAAGCAGACAUUCCUAUAGCCGAACACUACGAUGAAGUGCUUGUCUCUGAGAGCAGGAGAGAGCUUGGUGCUGCACUCAGGAGGGAACUCCUAACAACAGAGAAGUAUGUGU